GUCUCUGUUGUUAUCUCACCAUUUCCAGCUUUGAGUGCGAUCAAAAACUCACUUCCCAACUCACCGCCCUCUACGCUCUAAUCACACCCCUGCAUUAAAGACAGCAUAGCACUUCUGGUGAAGGAUCCACCAUGCUCCGUUCCGUUCAUGACAACAAUCACUUCAUUAACAGAUGGAGAAGUACUUUUCCAGCCCUCAUGGAUUCAAAGUCCUCCAAGAGAGAACCCAUUUGCAUUAUUAGGUGCCUCUUUUAUUUAUUUAUAAAGUUUCAUUUUUUUA
Molecule: long non-coding RNA, 279 nt
Filed under: Lupinus angustifolius (narrow-leaved blue lupine)
Lineage: Eukaryota; Viridiplantae; Streptophyta; Magnoliopsida; Fabales; Fabaceae
Description: long non-coding RNA (LANG_LNC003411)
Source: RNAcentral